RNAcentral lists this ribosomal RNA (460 nucleotides) under uncultured bacterium. RNAcentral describes it as "partial 16S ribosomal RNA". It matches the Rfam family "Bacterial small subunit ribosomal RNA", at positions 338 to 795 of the family's 1533-position model. The record is from RNAcentral.
CCUACGGGAGACAGCAGUGAGGAAUAUUGGUCAAUGGACGAGAGUCUGAACCAGCCAAGUAGCGUGAAGGAUGACUGCCCUAUGGGUUGUAAACUUCUUUUAUAAAGGAAUAAAACGAGGCACGUGUGCCUUUUUGCAUGUACUUUAUUAAUAAGGAUCGGCUAACUCCGUGCCAGCAGCCGCGGUAAUACGGAGGAUCCGAGCGUUAUCCGGAUUUAUUGGGUUUAAAGGGAGCGUAGAUGGGUUGUUAAGUCAGUUGUGAAAGUUUGCGGCUCAACCGUAAAAUUGCAAUUGAUACUGGCAGUCGUGAGUACAGUUGAGGUAAGCGGAAUUCGUGGUGUAGCGGUGAAAUGCUUAGAUAUCACGAAGAACCCCGAUUGCGAAGGCAGCUUACUAAACUGUGACUGACAUUGAUGCUCGAAAGUGUGGGUAUCAAACAGGAUUAGAUACCCCAGUAGUC